AUUGAACGCUGGCGGCAUGCUUUACACAUGCAAGUCGAACGGUAACAGGGUGCUUGCACCGCUGACGAGUGGCGAACGGGUGAGUAAUGCGUCGGAACGUGCCGAGUAGUGGGGGAUAACGCAGCGAAAGUUGUGCUAAUACCGCAUACGUACUGAGGUAGAAAGUGGGGGACCUUCGGGCCUCACGCUAUUCGAGCGGCCGACGUCUGAUUAGCUAGUAGGUGAGGUAAAGGCUCACCUAGGCGACGAUCAGAAGCGGGUCUGAGAGGAUGAUCCGCCACACGGGGACCGAGACACGGCCCAGACUCCUACGGGAGGCAGCAGUGGGGAAUUUUGGACAAUGGGCGAAAGCCUGAUCCAGCCAUGCCGCGUGUGUGAAGAAGGUCUUCGGAUUGUAAAGCACUUUAAGUUGGGAGGAAGGGCAGUAAGUUAAUACCUUGCUGUUUUGACGUUACCGACAGAAUAAGCACCGGCUAACUCUGUGCCAGCAGCCGCCGUAA
Molecule: ribosomal RNA, 500 nt
Filed under: uncultured bacterium
Lineage: Bacteria
Description: partial 16S ribosomal RNA
Rfam family: Bacterial small subunit ribosomal RNA
Source: RNAcentral